CAAAAAACGAUCUUAUAUCCAUUUUCAAAAAAUUGAUUAAUUUAAAUAUAUUCUACUUCUUUAUUAUAUUAAAUAUUGAUUAAAAACCACCUUUUAUUCUUUCCGCCUCACAGUAAGUACUUUCAGAGUUUGCAAGGAAUGAAACUAGGGAUGGGAAAAGUAUCGGUACCUGUCGAAAAGUAUCGACAAAGUCCGUAUUUGAUAUGUACCGACAAACAAUAAGGUAUCAAUAAUCGUUUAGUAUCGUUAAGUAGAAGAGUAUCGAUAUUUAGAGUUUCAUGAGGAAUUCGAUUCCCAUAAAUUUUAGACUCUUUGACAUUUUCAUUUGCGAGCAAAAUGGAGUAAGAACCAGGAGGAUUUAUUCAUGAAUGAUAUAUGUGUGUAUGUAUACAGCUUUAUGUUUUUUUAAAUAUGUUAAAAAUAGUUACUCUUUUCAUUUCACAUUACAUACAAUUUUAUUUGCAAAUGCAUUUAUUAUUUAAUAGUUUUCCCAAUUUUCGUCGGAUUUGUAUGAAUGUACUGGGCAAAUUGAAUUCUUGCACAAGUCUUAAAUCGCUGCUCGAAUAUUUAGUUAAAACCUUUAUAAUUGAAUAUACAGUUUUAAGCGCUGGAGACUAUUCUACGAAUCGAGUGCUUAAUAUAUGCCAAAACCUUGAAAAUAAUAUCUUUAAUGAUGCAUUGACCAAAAAAGGUCACAGGAACGGCUGUUUUUUUUAUUUUUCGUGCCACGCCCUUAAAGUUAAAACCACAGCCUUUUAAUGUUGAUGUUCGUAAUUAGCGACCCCAAAUUAACUAGAAAAUGUAUGUCGCUCCCCAGUGUAAUUUUACGUGUUGUGUAGUGUUAUUAUUAGAGUGAUUGGCCGUCCAAAGCCAAUACUUUUUAGUUAUUUUACGCAAGGAAAUUUUCUUUAUUCGCACUGUAUACAUUGUAAUUAUAAUAAUAUUAAAAAAAAAUUAUUAAAAAAUAUGUAUGUACUUUUGUAUUUUAAUUUGAAAUAAUUGUUUUCUCUCAAAUUGUAAAGGGGGGUAGUGGCCCUAGUAAAAUUAGACGAGGCAGCACUGGAUGCACUGCAAAAAAAAAUAGCACUUCGGGAACAAACAGCACUCUUAUUAGAAUAUUCGGAUAUCUACGUUUUUAUGUACAGGAAUUCGAUAAUCACAAUAUAUAAAUACUCUGUCAUUAAUAAUAAAUACAAAUUAUACAAUUUAAUUCCGUUAGCUUACAAACAUGGAAAAUUGAAAGAAAAAUAACAAAAUGUGAAAAUAAAUUUAUAACAUUAUCUAAAUGUAGAAAUAAUGUAGGAAUAAAUGUUUAUAAACAAGAAUUGCAAGAUAAUUGUACCAUCCCUUUACUAAAUAAGGACAAAACAUAUUGAAAUAUUGUUAAAAAACAAUGUGCCUUUAUUAAUAUUAGAUCACGGAAAUAUUAUAUUUGACGGAAUCCAUAUAUGGAACGGCCGAAAUAUUAUAGGCACAAAAUUAAUUCAGUUUAAUAUAUGCACUACUUUAGAUAAUAAGACGUAUUUUAACCAUGUCCAAGAAAUAAAAAAUAUAAUACAUGGUCAUCAAAAUGAACAAAUCAAAAUUAUGAAAAUAAUAGAAUCCAAAUCGAAUAAUAAAUUUUCUAAUAUGCACGAAAUAUACAAAUACCUAAUUCAUGUUGAGGAACGCCCUUUACAAUUUUUAAGCUACGCUAUUCUCUUAGUAAAAAUAUUAGGAUUAUUUAUAUACGCCUCAGUAAAGGCAUGUAAAUGUAUAUGAAAUGGAAGUACAGCGACUCCAAACACAGCGCUUUUGAAAUGAGGACAUUUCAUUUUAACAGAGGGGAGAGUUAAGGAAGAUAACAUUCCUUAUCAUACUCACGAACCCAAAUACAUCAACAAAUCCUUAUCAGCUGUAAACAUAAAAACAUGUCUCAUGACCUAUACACAUAAUAAUGUAUUGUAAUUAUCAGUAACAGAUAAGAACUUAUCCAAAAAUAUUUAUCAGCUUAAAAUAAGAACACAACAGAACAACAUGAAUGUUCUGUCGAUACUACAAAUAGUUGUAAGCAAACCUAAUGUCUUUUAGUCUUAGUAUUACCACAAACCAAGAAGGUAUAUUGAACUCAAUAAAGAAUAAUAAUAAA
This is a long non-coding RNA of Bactrocera neohumeralis, 2128 nucleotides long. RefSeq lists it as uncharacterized. The record is from RefSeq and is a predicted model, not a curated record. NCBI's taxonomy places the organism in Eukaryota, Metazoa, Arthropoda, Insecta, Diptera, Tephritidae. The transcript is spliced from 2 exons.